GAUGAACGCUGGCGGCGUGCCUAAUACAUGCAAGUCGAGCGAACAGACGAGGAGCUUGCUCCUCUGACGUUAGCGGCGGACGGGUGAGUAACACGUGGAUAACCUACCUAUAAGACUGGGAUAACUUCGGGAAACCGGAGCUAAUACCGGAUAAUAUAUUGAACCGCAUGGUUCAAUAGUGAAAGACGGUUUUGCUGUCACUUAUAGAUGGAUCCGCGCCGCAUUAGCUAGUUGGUAAGGUAACGGCUUACCAAGGCAACGAUGCGUAGCCGACCUGAGAGGGUGAUCGGCCAGACUGGAACUGAGACACGGUCCAGACUCCUACGGGAGGCAGCAGUAGGGAAUCUUCCGCAAUGGGCGAAAGCCUGACGGAGCAACGCCGCGGGAGUGAUGAAGGUCUUCGGAUCGUAAAACUCUGUUAUUAGGGAAGAACAAAUGUGUAAGUAACUAUGCACGUCUUGACGGUACCUAAUCAGAAAGCCACGGCUAACUACGUG
Molecule: ribosomal RNA, 497 nt
Filed under: uncultured bacterium
Lineage: Bacteria
Description: partial 16S ribosomal RNA
Rfam family: Bacterial small subunit ribosomal RNA
Source: RNAcentral